GUCUAUUCGGCAAGCAGCAAACAUUAGUGCUCGUUGUUUCCCGUUCAGUGUCGGUCUUUUGCACACAUCAAAGUGGACGAAUAUUUGGGAAAAGGCAAACUUUGCUUCAUCCACACAUUCGGCUUUGUGGUUGGGAGAUAAGAACUGUUCACGGUUUCCAAUUUUGUCAUCAGAGCCUCAUUGACUAUUGGGUAUGGAGUGGCCUAAUGAGUUGGUGUUGGAUUUCUUACAAUACUAUGAGAAUGAACCAGUUAUUUGGAACCCUUCUCA
This is a long non-coding RNA of Homalodisca vitripennis (glassy-winged sharpshooter), 270 nucleotides long. RefSeq lists it as uncharacterized. The record is from RefSeq and is a predicted model, not a curated record. NCBI's taxonomy places the organism in Eukaryota, Metazoa, Arthropoda, Insecta, Hemiptera, Cicadellidae. The transcript has 2 exons.